CUGGCCCAGGCAGGGGAACUGCUUGAGCAGCUCCGUCUUCUGCCGCUUGUAGUCGUCGGUGGCCGAGCGCCAGUGCGGCUCCUCCAGCACCUCGAAGAUCGCCGCCCCGAUGGACAGGUAGAAGAUGAUGGCCGAGGUUCCCCGGAGGUUUUCCUUUUCGACGCUGGAAGGUUGUGAAAUGAGGCGUUAGGCAAAACGCUGGAGGAGAGGCGGCAGCAGCUCUGAGGAGGACAGAAGACGGGCGACAGGCAGGCUUUGCCCUUGCCCCAGGAUGUUGUCCGUGGGUGUUAUGGACCCUUCAGCACAAGAACAGCUUCUCCCUUCCAUCGUGCAUUUUGUACACUCGAUAAAUCACACGUUUGCAUAUGCACCCAUGUGUGUGGGCCUGUGAGUUUCCAUUAGAUGUUCAGACGCUCUGGGGUGAAGUUCACCAGCUUGCCACGCUCAUGGAGCCCUUCCCAGGAGCCUCUCACGGCCACGCUCCUCCACAGUCGUACAUCAGGGCUGCUGGAAGUGGGGUUGAAUGGUCAGAGGAAGAUCAAGUCAGUGAUGAGAUAGAGCUGUGUGUUACAUGAUGUGGCAAAGGGCUCCUGGAGUGCAUGCAGUUCGUGUUAGGAAUGCUGUUAUUGUGGCAUAACUUAAUUCCCCGACUCCCCUAGCCCUCUUCCCCCUAGACAGCAAGAAAAUGGUCAAAAAUGCAGGGGUGUCCAAAGGAUUUUGAGAUGCUUAGGUAUGUCAGCUGGAGUCCACACACCAAAGGGCUGAGGUUAGCCUGCUGAAAUUCCCAUGUGGCCCUCAUUGAAAUGGGAGGAGGGAGAAUGGAGAAAACUGGAAAGAGGAAGGAAACAAUGAGAAAAUACACAACAAAGUAUGAGAAAGGAAAAAGGAGAACAUGUGGAAGGCAAAGGAACUGCCUCGGUUAGGAGGUAUCCAGAGACACCUAUCUGUAAAACAUUGACUCAUGCCAAAUGGAUGCUCUUGUGAGACUGCCCACAGAAAUUUACAUGGCCCUUAAGCAGUCCUUCCUACUAGCUUGUACAGAGCUCGAUGAAAAUACAUCUGCCAGAGGUUCCUGGCAGCUUAAAAAGCAGGACUGGAGAAACCACAAAAUCCACAAGCAUGUUACGUGAUCAGCAUCAUGCUUUUUUUGCAUGGGAUUCCCCAGUUAUGUAAAGGCAACAUUAAGAAGACAAAAGGAUUGCCAAACUGUAGUAGUAAAAAAAAAAAGAAAAAAAAAAAAUA
Long non-coding RNA from Oxyura jamaicensis (ruddy duck), 1242 nucleotides. RefSeq lists it as uncharacterized. Lineage: Eukaryota; Metazoa; Chordata; Aves; Anseriformes; Anatidae. The record is from RefSeq and is a predicted model, not a curated record. The transcript is spliced from 2 exons.